Molecule: ribosomal RNA, 846 nt
Filed under: uncultured marine microorganism
Description: bacterial SSU rRNA
Rfam family: Bacterial small subunit ribosomal RNA
Source: RNAcentral
AGAGUUUGAUCAUGGCUCAGAUUGAACGCUGGCGGCAGGCCUAACACAUGCAAGUCGAACAGUAACAUUUCUAGCUUGCUAGAAGAUGACGAGUGGCGGACGGGUGAGUAAUGCUUGGGAACUUGCCUUUGCGAGGGGGAUAACAGUUGGAAACGACUGCUAAUACCGCAUAAUGUCUACGGACCAAACGGGGCUUUUAGCUCCGGCGCAAAGAGAGGCCCAAGUGAGAUUAGCUAGUUGGUAAGGUAAUGGCUUACCAAGGCAACGAUCUCUAGCUGUUCUGAGAGGAAGAUCAGCCACACUGGAACUGAGACACGGUCCAGACUCCUACGGGAGGCAGCAGUGGGGAAUAUUGCACAAUGGGGGAAACCCUGAUGCAGCCAUGCCGCGUGUGUGAAGAAGGCCUUCGGGUUGUAAAGCACUUUCAGUUGUGAGGAAAAGUUAGUAGUUAAUACCUGCUAGCCGUGACGUUAACAACAGAAGAAGCACCGGCUAACUCCGUGCCAGCAGCCGCGGUAAUACGGAGGGUGCGAGCGUUAAUCGGAAUUACUGGGCGUAAAGCGCACGCAGGCGGUUUGUUAAGCUAGAUGUGAAAGCCCCGGGCUCAACCUGGGAUAGUCAUUUAGAACUGGCAGACUAGAGUCUUGGAGAGGGGAGUGGAAUUCCAGGUGUAGCGGUGAAAUGCGUAGAUAUCUGGAGGAACAUCAGUGGCGAAGGCGACUCCCUGGCCAAAGACUGACGCUCAUGUGCGAAAGUGUGGGUAGCGAACAGGAUUAGAUACCCUGGUAGUCCACACCGUANACGCUGUCUACUAGCUGUUUGUGACUUUAAGUCGUGAGUAGCGAA